GUCCUUGUGUAGAAAUAUAAGGUCUGGCCUGCCCACUGAAGUAAUUUGAAGGGCCGCGGUAUAUUAACCGUGCGAAGGUAGCAUAGUCAAUAGUCUUUUAAUUGGAGGCUUGAAUGAAUGGUCGGACAUAGGGAAAUCUGUCUUUGACUAGUAAGGGUGAACUUAACUUUUGUGUGAGAAGGCAUUAAUGAGCUAGGGGGACGAUAAGACCCUAUAAAACUUGAUGAUUUUUAUCGAAUUACGCAAGUUAGGUGUAAUGAAAAACUUGAAGAUUAUCGUUAUGCUGGGGCGGCAAGAAUAAAAUCCUAACUGUUCUUUGAAAUGAAAUAAUUAUAAUUAGAGGUUGACCCUGAAAUAUUUAGGUUAGAGGAUAAAGUUACUUUAGGGAUAACAGCGUUAUUUCUCUUGAGAGUUCAUAUCGACAGAGAUAUUUGCGACCUCGAUGUUGAAUUAAAGUUUUUUCCGGGAGUAGAUAUUCGGAUAAUAGGUCUGUUCGACCUUUAAAAUUUU
Molecule: ribosomal RNA, 510 nt
Filed under: Alpheus paracrinitus
Lineage: Eukaryota; Metazoa; Arthropoda; Malacostraca; Decapoda; Alpheidae
Description: partial 16S ribosomal RNA
Rfam family: Bacterial large subunit ribosomal RNA
Source: RNAcentral